UAGCUUGUCAUGCAAGGUUGUCUGGAUAGAUAAUUCAGUCAUACGCAAUGCUCAUUCCCGAGAGUAUAGGCUACUUCCUAUAUGUGAUCAUGUCAUAAGUAGACCAUUUCAUGGUUCUCGUUUGAUUGAAGUGUUGAAGCUAUUUCCCGAAUGCAAAGGUGCAUCUCAAAGGAAUUUCCCAAAGUUAAAGAUGGAAGCAUCAUCUCAAGAACUCCAGCAUUGCAUUGACCCGAAUCCUUUGAACAAGUUGAAGAGUUUCGGGGCAGAGACCGGAGCUUCUAUUUCAUCACAUUGCAGCUCACUCCAACAAGUAGCAGCACAAAGUGAUGGAAAAUGUAGUGAGAAGCCAUUGAAUGGGAAGAAAUUUCUGGUUGUUGAAGAUGAUGCUAUAGUGCUUAAGGUAACUAGUGCUGUUCUCGGGAAACUUGGAGCAAAAUUUGAAGUUUGCAGAAAUGGGAAAGAGGCCUUUGAUCAUGUAUGCAAAAUUUUAAGUGAUUUAAGGAAGGAAGGAAAGGCUCUGCCUUAUGAUUAUAUUAUGAUGGAUUGCGAGGUAAUUCUACAAACUUUAUCUCAAAAGCAUUAAUCUUGUUUGGGGGAUAAUAAUAUCUGGGAUACUACAUGUAUUAUAGUAAACUUGUAAUUUUUUUUUUUCCCCAACUCGACAGAUGCCUGUAAUGAAUGGAUGGGAAGCAACGAGAUUGAUAAGAAAAGAGGAAGAACAACCCCAACUCGACAGAUGCCUGUAAUGAAUGUAGUAAACUUGUAAUUUUUUUUUUUCCCCAACUCGACAGAUGCCUGUAAUGAAUGGAUGGGAAGCAACGAGAUUGAUAAGAAAAGAGGAAGAACAAUAUGAUGUUCAUAUCCCAAUAAUAGCAUUAACAGCUCAUGCAAUGGCUGGAGUAGCAAGCAAGAUUGUUGAUGCUGGAAUGGACUUUCAUUUAAC
Molecule: long non-coding RNA, 943 nt
Filed under: Citrus sinensis (sweet orange)
Lineage: Eukaryota; Viridiplantae; Streptophyta; Magnoliopsida; Sapindales; Rutaceae
Description: long non-coding RNA (CSIN_LNC001395)
Source: RNAcentral